GGCUCCUUGUGGUAAAAUAGGAUAGGGGGUCUGGCCUGCCCAGUGACAGAAGUUAAACGGCCGCAGUAUAUUAACUGUGCAAAGGUAGCGUAAUAAUUUGCCUAUUAAUUGUGGGCUGGUAUGAAUGGCUUGACGAGGGCUAAGCUGUCUCUAUAUAAUUAUAUAGAAAUUAUUUUCUAGGUGAAAAUUCCUAGGUGUGGUUGAGGGACGAUAAGACCCUAUCGAGCUUUAGUGUAGCUUAAGCCCGGUUUGUCAAAUUUGUAUUUUGGUGCUUGGGUGAAUCUUUGGUUGGGGCGAUCAAGAAGUAGAAUGAACCUUUUGUGUAAAUUGUAUACUGUUAGGUGUGGGAUCCUGUGUGUUAUAUGGAUCAUAAGAGUAAGUUACCGUAGGGAUAACAGCGUAAUCCUCUUGGAGAGCUCUUAUUGAGAAGAGGGCUUGCGACCUCGAUGUUGGACUAAGGUAUCCUGAGGGUGUAGCAGCUUUUAAGGGUUAGUCUGUUCGACUAUUAAAACCUUACA
Molecule: ribosomal RNA, 518 nt
Filed under: Scutus unguis
Lineage: Eukaryota; Metazoa; Mollusca; Gastropoda; Lepetellida; Fissurellidae
Description: partial large subunit ribosomal RNA
Rfam family: Bacterial large subunit ribosomal RNA
Source: RNAcentral